AGCGAACGCUGGCGGUAGGCUUAACACAUGCAAGUCGAGCGGGCAUCCUUGUGGUGUCAGCGGCAGACGGGUGAGUAACGCGUGGGAACGUGCCCUUCGGUUCGGAAUAACUCAGGGAAACUUGAGCUAAUACCGGAUACGUGCGAGAGCAGAAAGGUUUAUCUGCCGAAGGAUCGGCCCGCGUCUGAUUAGCUAGUUGGUGAGGUUACGGCUCACCAAGGCGACGAUCAGUAGCUGGUCUGAGAGGAUGAUCAGCCACACUGGGACUGAGACACGGCCCAGACUCCUACGGGAGGCAGCAGUGGGGAAUAUUGGACAAUGGGGGCAACCCUGAUCCAGCCAUGCCGCGUGAGUGAUGACGGCCUUAGGGUUGUAAAGCUCUUUUCUCCGGGACGAUAAUGACGGUACCGGAGGAAUAAGCCCCGGCUAACUUCGUG
This 437-nucleotide ribosomal RNA is filed under the name uncultured bacterium. Its description in RNAcentral is "partial 16S ribosomal RNA". It matches the Rfam family "Bacterial small subunit ribosomal RNA", at positions 29 to 507 of the family's 1533-position model. The record is from RNAcentral.